CCACCUCAGCCUCCUAAAGUGCUGGGAUUACAGGCGUGAGCCACCGCACCCCACCGAAGAAUGCUGUUUUUAUGUCAACCAAUCAGGAUUAGCAAGAGAUGCCACCUGAAAAUUAGCUAACGGGGCCUCUAAAAUAUAAUAGCAGCUGUCCGAGUCAUGGGGCUUCUAGUCAAGGGCACUAAGUUGGGCUUCAUGGCUACUUCCCUUAGCUGGCACAUUAUUAACAAUUAUACUUUCAUUGACCAUGUUUUGGACCAUGUUUGUUAAAUCUUUUAACCAAAUGUAUUUUUUCUCACCUAGAGGCCAUUGAGCUUCAAAUGGUCAUGCAGCAGGGCUUCUAUCCAGGUAAUGAUGCCAGCCCCAGCCAUCAAGAAGUCAUCCUGUCUCCACUAGACAGAGCAGGAACCUGGACAACUUGUAAUCAAGACCCUCCACUGGUAACACCCUGAGCAUGAUAUUUGUGAUGACAUCAAGAAAGAACACACUGUGGAAUUAGACACUGGCUCCCCAAGUGAGGAGCUGAGCAGUGCUAGAGAGGUAAAGAAACAGACAAUCUUACAGAAGGAAGAAGAGAGGAGUCAGCCAACAAAACCCCUUCUUCUUCUCAAGAACCCCCAAUGAAGGAAACUUGGGGGGAGAUGAGAGCAAAGGAUCACCAAAUAAUGCUUCAUCCUCCAUGGAUCCUGAAGUGAGGCUUAGUAGCCCACCAGGGAAGCCCAAAGACUCAUCCAGUGUUGAUGGUCAGUCAGUGGGGACCCCAGUUGGACCAGAAACUGGAGGAGAGAAAGAUGGACCAGAAGAAGAGGACUUUGAUGACCUCAUUCAAGAUGAGGAAGAUGAAAUGUCAUCAGCUUCUGAGGAAUCUGUGUUUUCUGUCCCAGAACUCCAGGUGAGAGCUGGAGAAUAUUCUCAAGUAUUUUGUGGACUCAGUAAUAUGUUUAAUUUAUUGAUAUGCCACCUGCUUGCUUGCUGCACUAUAGAUAGGCCUAAAAUCAUUUGUAUUUGAUUUGUGAAUGCAUUAUGGGACAUGAUUGUGGGGUUGAGGUGAAAUGAGAUGGAAAGGGUGAAAUUUUACUGAUUAUAUUAAACUCAUUUACACAUU
This is a long non-coding RNA of Cercocebus atys (sooty mangabey), 1102 nucleotides long. RefSeq lists it as uncharacterized. NCBI's taxonomy places the organism in Eukaryota, Metazoa, Chordata, Mammalia, Primates, Cercopithecidae. The transcript has 2 exons. The record is from RefSeq and is a predicted model, not a curated record.